This 872-nucleotide long non-coding RNA is filed under the name Sander lucioperca (pikeperch). Its description in RNAcentral is "lncRNA (ENSSLUG00000003793.1)". The record is from RNAcentral. Lineage: Eukaryota; Metazoa; Chordata; Actinopteri; Perciformes; Percidae.
CAAAAAAUCGUGUGACAUGAAAAGAUUUUGUGUAAGCAGUUGGAAAAAAGAGUAAAAUGUUUGGUGGAGCUCUGCUUGUAGUUCCUGCUGAUGUCCACCAGAGGGCGCCAUGUAACCACUGAACUAUAUGUGGUAAUGCUCUCUGGGCGGUUCCUCUUGUUUCCUGUUCAACGUUUACUUUCACUUUCCAGAGGCUGAUGUGACGCAGCUUUUUCUCUCUGUGUGGAGCUCCAGCUGAAGGACCCAUCAGAGACCAGACCCUGCUGAACCUGAACCUGAACCCAGCUGUGUGUCCAUGAAGAGUCACCGGUCCAUGGAGACACUAGUUUAAAAAAGACCUGUAAGGGAGAGGAGAAUAGAAAUGGAGGAGAGGCUGCUUGAACUGGAGGAGAGAGGAUUGAUGGAGAGACUUGAAUGGCAGAAGGAGAGAAUAACAAUGGAAAAGGAAAUUGAAAUGUUAAGAAGAAGAUUGAGGACCCACCAGAGACCAGAGUCUCCUGAACCUGAACCUGAACCUGAACCCAGCUGUGUGUCCUUUAAGAGCGACCAGUCAAAGGAUGAUGUGAUUAAUUUUAAACGUGUUUCUGACAUAAAACUAUCUGCUGAUGGAAGGAUCCAGCAGCAGAGACCAGGGUCUCCUGAACCUGAACCUGAACCCAGCUGUGUGUCCUUUAAGAGCGACCGGUCAAGGAUGAUGUGAUUAAUUUUAAACGUGUUUUUGACAAAAAAGAGGACCAGGAGAGCUCAGAGGUUCCCAGUGGUCAGUCUGCCCAGCAGCAUCAAACACACCUGGACUCUAUAUUUAUGGUCUGUACAUGUACAUCAACUACUUUUACAUCUAUUCUGUUCACAAUCAUCUCCAUGCUGCACUU